GAUGAAGAACGUAGUGAAAUGCGAUAAGUAAUGUGAAUUGCAGAAUUCAGUGAAUCAUCGAAUCUUUGAACGCACCUUGCGCCCUUUGGCCAUUCCGAAGGGCAUGCCUGUUUGAGUAUCAUGAACACCUCAACUCUUUAUGGUUUUCCAUGAUGAGCUUGGACUCUGGGGGUUUUGCUGGCUCACAGUCGGCUCCUCUGAAAUGAAUCAGCUUACCAGUGUUUGGUGGGUAUCAUAGGUGUGAUAACUAUCUACGCUUGUGGUUUUUCCACCAGGUAACCUUCAGCAGUGGAGGUUCGCUGGAGCUCAUAGAUGUCUCUCCUCAGUGAGGACAGCCCUUUGAAUGUUUGAUCUCAAAUCAGGUAGGACUACCCGCUGAACUUAAGCAUAUCAAUAAGCGGAGGA
Molecule: unclassified non-coding RNA, 405 nt
Filed under: soil metagenome
Description: partial contains 5.8S ribosomal RNA, internal transcribed spacer 2, and large subunit ribosomal RNA
Rfam family: 5.8S ribosomal RNA (bases 1-121)
Source: RNAcentral